RNAcentral lists this microRNA (30 nucleotides) under Vombatus ursinus (common wombat). RNAcentral's name for it is "miRNA (ENSVURG00010005563.1)". Lineage: Eukaryota; Metazoa; Chordata; Mammalia; Diprotodontia; Vombatidae. The record is from RNAcentral.
CUAAAAAAGUAAGUGCUUCCAUGUUUUAGU